Molecule: long non-coding RNA, 576 nt
Organism: Copidosoma floridanum
Lineage: Eukaryota; Metazoa; Arthropoda; Insecta; Hymenoptera; Encyrtidae
Source: RefSeq, a predicted model, not a curated record
GUCAUGGCUAUAACUUGUACUUCUUUUAUCAUUACGUUAUUUAUUUUUUAUUAUUGUUUAUUUUUGUUAAUUUAUUCAAUAUUAAAAUUUUUAUUGAAACAACCCUCAAUUAACAUGCACAUACUUUUUCUAACGAUAUAGUCCCCACUUUUUUACAGAAUAUCGUUUUAUAAAAGUUAGUAUGACACGACCUUUGAAAUCUGCAGCUAUCGCUAUUUUAUUUAUUAUGAAGUGAGAGUCAGAUCCAGCCAGAUUAUAAAACAUAACAGGCUGUUCAACGCAACAUACUCUUUUGGGAAAAACACGGCGACCUCGGACAGCUUUUACGUCUCAGCAACUUCUAGAAUUAGAAAAACAAUUCCGUCAGAAUAAAUAUCUAAGUCGACCUAAAAGAUUUGAAGUUGCCACAUCAUUAAUGUUGACAGAAACUCAGGUUCCAUUCCUGAUCAAAGGAGCUAGCUAAUAUGAGCACAGACUACUUUGGUCUAGGUUUUGCCGUGCAAUUUUUCUUCAGUGUGGUUCUAGGAUUUUUUCUUUGACCCACAGAUCUUUGGACUUGAGUAAAUGCAAGGCAGU